RNAcentral lists this ribosomal RNA (253 nucleotides) under uncultured bacterium. RNAcentral's name for it is "partial 16S ribosomal RNA". It matches the Rfam family "Bacterial small subunit ribosomal RNA", at positions 524 to 776 of the family's 1533-position model. The record is from RNAcentral.
UACGAAGGGGGCUAGCGUUGCUCGGAAUCACUGGGCGUAAAGGGUGCGUAGGCGGGUCUUUAAGUCAGGGGUGAAAUCCUGGAGCUCAACUCCAGAACUGCCUUUGAUACUGGCGAUCUCGAGUCCGGGAGAGGUGAGUGGAACUGCGAGUGUAGAGGUGAAAUUCGUAGAUAUUCGCAAGAACACCAGUGGCGAAGGCGGCUCACUGGCCCGGUACUGACGCUGAGGUGCGAAAGCGUGGGGAGCGAACAGG